UUGUUAGUUUUAGUUUAUUUUUAUUUUUAGGAUUAUGUGCCUUUUGCAUCAUGCUUAUGUGAUAUUUAGAAUAAUAUCUUUAAUCGAAACUUUUGGAUCUUGCUUUAUUCUUGUUUAGAAUAAUAUAUCGAGUAGAUUUAUUAAAGGAUAGGUAUGUUGUGAUAAAUUAAUCGUCAAAAGUUAUAGCUAUUUCAUAACUUAAAUCUUCAGAUUAAUUACUUGGCUAAGAUGUCAGGUAAUAGUGUAUACUUUAACUGUUUUUAGGUUUAAUUAGGGUUAAAAUUACCCUUUUAUAAAAAUAGUGUUAUAACUUUUUACAUUUUGUUUUUAAGUUACUUUUUGGUAGUUAUGUAAUUUAAUUAUUUGCUAUUAUAAAUGCUUAAAUAAGUAAUAUUAAUAUUUAUAUUAUUUCUCAAAGUUUGUCCGUCUGUUUAUUAAAAACAUUGUCAUAAUUAAUAUUUUAUGAUAGUACCUGCCCUAUGUAUUUAUAAAUGGCCGCAGUAUCUUGACUGUGCGAAGGUAGCAUAAUUAAUUGCCUUAUAAUUGAAGGCUUGUUUGAAUGGUUUGACGUGAUAAUUCUAAAUAUUAUAAAUUUUAUUGAAAUUAUUAUAGAGGGCACAGAAACCUCUAAAAUUAAUUAGACGGAAAGACCCCAGGAUCUUUUAUUUUUUGCUUGGGGCAAGUUGUAGUUUUUUACUCCAAUUAAGACCCUUAUGGUAUAAUGAGUUAAGUUACCCUGGGGAUAACAGUAUUAUAAUUUAAUAGAGAUCUUAUCGAUUAAAUUGUUUGUUACCUCGAUGUUGACUUAGGUUUUAUUUCAGGCGCAGUAGUUUGAAAAUUAGGUCUGUUCGACCUUAUAAAUCUCCAUGAGUUGAGUUAAGACCGGCGUAAGCCAGGUCGGUUCUUAUCUAUUUUUCUUGCUUGCUAGUACGAAAGGAUCGCAAGCUUUUUUAUU
This 955-nucleotide ribosomal RNA is filed under the name Rhinebothroides sp. MZUSP 8013. Its description in RNAcentral is "16S ribosomal RNA". The stretch from base 636 to 913 matches the Rfam family "Archaeal large subunit ribosomal RNA", at positions 2151 to 2715 of the family's 2987-position model. Lineage: Eukaryota; Metazoa; Platyhelminthes; Cestoda; Rhinebothriidea; Rhinebothriidae. The record is from RNAcentral.